Non-coding RNA from Onthophagus taurus, 1893 nucleotides. NCBI's taxonomy places the organism in Eukaryota, Metazoa, Arthropoda, Insecta, Coleoptera, Scarabaeidae. The record is from RefSeq and is a predicted model, not a curated record.
AAUAGGGUGGCAUACUUGGAGUAGGGUUAAAGCACUCACGUGUUCUUGAUGUUCUUUCAUCUAACCUAAAUCGAACAUAAUGGAUGUAUCGGACGAUAAUUUGUGGAUCCUCGGAGGUUAACUACAACAAACGUUACGCCCUGAUGUUAAUAUACGAAACUAAGCAGAAAAGUGUUUGGAAGGAAUUGAAGUGAAUCAAAACUAUCCACUUCUCCUAGUACUUCUUGUUCAUACCAAUGAUAUUCAGAUGGAAAUAUGUGUUGCUGAAUCUAUUGCUUUUGAGAAUUAUAUUAAAAGGAAUUGGAGUGUAGAUGAGGAUCAACCUGAUCUGAUAUAUAAGAUAAUACAAAAGCAACUAAGUGAUGCUAUCAGUAUUAUUGAAAACACUGAUUUCCCAUUAACAUGGCCCAAAUUAAUUCCUCAGAUGAUUGAAACAUUUUCUACCGAUGUUAUUAAUGGAAUUUUAUGUACAGGGGGGCAUUCAUUGUUCAAGAAAUAUAGGUAUGAGUUUAAGUCCAAUGAGUUAUGGAUGGAGAUUAAAUAUGUUUUGGAGAAAUUAGCUCAACCACUUACAGAUUUAUUAUUGGCAAUUUUUUUUACCAAAAAAGUUGAGAUGCAUCAACUUUACAGUUUCAGUCUCAAUUCAUCUCAAGAUUUUAUUUCAAAAUUACUUGAUGAUGUCAAAUUUAUUUAUAAUGAAUACUUCAAAACCGUAAAACCAAUGCUACCUUUAACAGUCAAUGAGCAACAGAAAAUCAUAACCGCAAAAUUUUUAAUGUAUUGGGACGCUAAUAAUUUAUAUGGGUGGGAAAUGUCUCAAUUAAUUCCUGUUUCCAAUUUUAAAUGGUUCACUAAAAAUGAAAUAAAAAAUUUAGAUUUUAAUAAUGUAACCUAUAUUCAUUCUGAUUUUGGAUGUAUUUUAGCUGUACACUGUGUUAAUUAAUUAUUGUAUCCGACGUCAUCAUUGCAGGUAUGCAACCAAUAUCACAGUAUUAUCGUAUGUAAUACGUAAAUCGCGUGUUGCAAUACCAAUACUGUGAUAUUGGUUGCAUACUUGCAAUGAUGACGUAGGGUACGAUAAUUAAUCCACACACUGUAAAUAUUGAAUAUCCCAAAGUUUUACAUGAUUUACAUAAUGAUCCUGGCUGAAAACUUUUUUUUAUUUAAUAAGAAAAAUUACAUUCAUUAUAGAAAUUUAAAACAAACUGUAGCUCACGAUCUUAAAGUUUGCAAAAUUAAUAGAGUUUUAUCGUUUAGGCAGUCGACUUGGUUGAAAUCUUACAUUGACAAAAAUACGGAAUUACGUCAAUCAGCUAAAAACAUGUUUGAAAAAGACUUUUUUAAAUUAAUGAAUAUUCGGUUUUUGGUAAAGUUGAUAAGUUUAGUUGAUGAGAGAGUCGUUGUAAGAUUAGUUGGGAUGAUAACCAUACUAACGUCAUAACAGGUCGACCGCGUCUUCGUGCGCGGAAACGUUUUCGGCUAUUCAAAUGGAACGUCUUCACGUCGUUUACGAUAAACCUCUAUAUGUUGGUUUUACGGUUUUAGAGCUCGAAAUUAUUAAUGUACAAUUUUUUAAUGAUUUUUUAAAACCCAAGUAUGGUGAAGGUAUUUGGUUAUGCUACAUGGAUACGGAUAGCUUCACCGUAUUAAUUGUCACAAACUAGCUCUCGAGAACUUCUCGUUUCCCGUAGUGGGUUUUCCUAGCUAGGUCCACGGAGCGGCUCGCGUACCCAACUGUCCACGCACUACCCUUUUCUUGAUAGCUAGCAAUGACUAAGUUAGGGGUCGUUCACUGCAUUCGUUUACUUGAAAGCGAACGGCAGUAAUUUAGAAUUAAGAAUAAAAAUAGAUUGAAAGAAAACGAAAUUUCACUGUUAAAGAAUAAAUUUACUU